UACGUAGGGUGCAAGCGUUGUCCGGAAUUAUUGGGCGUAAAGAGCUCGUAGGCGGUCUGUCGCGUCUGCUGUGAAAACUCAGGGCUUAACCCUGAGCUUGCAGUGGGUACGGGCAGACUAGAGUGCGGUAGGGGAGACUGGAAUUCCUGGUGUAGCGGUGAAAUGCGCAGAGUAUCAGGAGGAACACCGGUGGGCGAAAGG
Molecule: ribosomal RNA, 201 nt
Filed under: uncultured bacterium
Lineage: Bacteria
Description: partial 16S ribosomal RNA
Rfam family: Bacterial small subunit ribosomal RNA
Source: RNAcentral